Molecule: long non-coding RNA, 596 nt
Organism: Dermacentor silvarum
Lineage: Eukaryota; Metazoa; Arthropoda; Arachnida; Ixodida; Ixodidae
Exons: 6
Source: RefSeq, a predicted model, not a curated record
AAAAGCCGCCACAACCAUGUGAUUCCACAAAAACCGCAGAAUGCAAUGCGAAGGGACAAGAAUGCAAGCUUAUCGACAACAAACCGACGUGCUUUGUUCCAGAAAAGCCGCCACAACCAUGUGAUUCCACAAAAACCGCAGAAUGCAAUGCGAAGGGACAAGAAUGCAAGCUUAUCGACAACAAACCGACGUGCUUUGUUCCAGAAAAGCCGCCACAACCAUGUGAUUCCACAAAAACCGCAGAAUGCAAUGCGAAGGGACAAGAAUGCAAGCUUAUCAACAACAAACCGACGUGCUUUGUUCCAGACAAGACGCCACAACCAUGUGAUUCCACAAAAACCGCAGAAUGCAAUGCGAAGGGACAAGAAUGCAAACUUAUCAACAACAAACCGACGUGCUUUGUUCCAGAAAAGCCGCCACAACCAUGUGAUUCCACAAAAACCGCAGAAUGCAAUGCGAAGGGACAAGAAUGCAAGCUUAUCGACAACAAACCGACGUGCUUUGACAAGCCGCCACAACCAUGUGAUUCCACAAAAACCGCAGAAUGCAAUGCGAAGGGACAAGAAUGCAAGCUUAUCAACAACAAACCGACGUGC